RNAcentral lists this ribosomal RNA (778 nucleotides) under uncultured Neocallimastigales. RNAcentral's name for it is "partial large subunit ribosomal RNA". It matches the Rfam family "Eukaryotic large subunit ribosomal RNA", at positions 23 to 643 of the family's 3401-position model. The record is from RNAcentral. Lineage: Eukaryota; Fungi; Neocallimastigomycota; Neocallimastigomycetes; Neocallimastigales.
AGAGAGAGACAUGCGCGCAUAUCAAUAAGCGGAGGAAAAGAAACUAACAAGGAUUCCCUUAGUAACGGCGAGUGAAGCGGGAAGAGCUCAAAUUUGAAAUCUUCAAGGUUCUACCUUGACGAAUUGUAGUUUAUAGAAGUGUUUUCUGUUAGUGGAGUGGCAAAAGUUCUUUGGAAUAGGACAUCAUAGAGGGUGAGAAUCCCGUAUUUGGUCAUUCCUCCUAGCGUUGUGAUACACUUUCAACGAGUCGGAUUGUUUGGGAAUGCAGUCCAAAAUGGGUGGUAAAUUUCAUCUAAAGCUAAAUAUUGGCGAGAGACCGAUAGCGAACAAGUACCGUGAGGGAAAGAUGAAAAGAACUUUGAAAAGAGAGUUAAACAGUACGUGAAAUUGUCAAAAGGGAAGCGUUUGACACCAGUGUUGUUUUUUCCGAAAAUCAAUUACGAAUGUUGUUUUGUAUUUUGAGACGUAUGACUUCAUCGGCUUGCUCCUUUCUUUACGAAACUUUCUUAAUGCACUUUUCGGUUAACAAGUCAACAUCAAUUUCUUUUGUUGUAAAAGGGUAUGAGGAAGGUGGCUUUCUUUUCGGAGAAAGUGUUUAUAGCCUUGUGCCUCUGCAAUCGGAGAGAUUGAGGUCUGCAGCGUAGAUCCUUCGGGGUUAGAUACGUUUGUGCUAAGUUAUAGCUUUUCAUAGACAACUUGUUGACUAUGUUGAGUCUUGUAGCUUACUCGCUGAUGCUAUUUUACCUACGCUUAGGAUGUUGAAGAUGUAGCACAUCAU